Molecule: long non-coding RNA, 634 nt
Filed under: Cyanistes caeruleus (blue tit)
Lineage: Eukaryota; Metazoa; Chordata; Aves; Passeriformes; Paridae
Description: lncRNA (ENSCCEG00000008772.1)
Source: RNAcentral
UUUCUGUCUGCCAGAACACAAAGCAGAAUUAAUUUAAGCUACUGUACAGGUUAAUACAUCCUUUAAGGUGAGAGAUACUGUAUAAAUAUAGUGGCACCAACAUCCUAGGCAAUAUUUUAGUAUGAAAUUUCGUCUGACCUUAUUAAUUUUACUUGGAGAAAAACAUAGAGGAAAUAAAAGAAAGAACACAUCAUGUCAGGUUGUCCAUUUAUGAUCACAGAAGCCCUGCUCUUGUCAUCCAUUGCUGGUUGAUGCUGGUGCUGGUGAGAAGAACUGAGACAGUGAGAGAGGCACAAGAUCACUUUACAGGGGAAAGGGAAAUCCACUUGCACCAGGUGGGAGCCUGCCCCUUUGCUUUGAACUUCAUCUGCUGGUGUCUGGUGAGGCUCCUGUUUGUGGGAACACUGUCCCUUGGAGCAGGCUUCUUCUGCUGCAGCAGCUGCUGCCCACCACAUCUCUAUGGUCACCUCAGAUUAAUAUUUUUCCACUUAUCACAUAGGUACUUCUGAGUCUUUCUGGUAAUGGAUAUUUGGCCCAUCUGAGCUUGUUCACCCUUUCUGUCCCCCAGAUCUCACAGCCUGGCCUUCAAGGGCUUGCAAAUAAAGCAAAAGUGUUAGAAAAUAAGGAUGCUCCU